RNAcentral lists this ribosomal RNA (25 nucleotides) under Fulvia fulva. RNAcentral's name for it is "Passalora fulva partial 26S ribosomal RNA". Lineage: Eukaryota; Fungi; Ascomycota; Dothideomycetes; Mycosphaerellales; Mycosphaerellaceae. The record is from RNAcentral. RNAcentral also lists the same sequence under 1 other name.
CUUGACCUCAAAUCAAUACCAUACC